This 503-nucleotide ribosomal RNA is filed under the name uncultured bacterium. Its description in RNAcentral is "bacterial SSU rRNA". It matches the Rfam family "Bacterial small subunit ribosomal RNA", at positions 25 to 518 of the family's 1533-position model. The record is from RNAcentral.
CAGGAUGAACGCUAGCUACAGGCUUAACACAUGCAAGUCGAGGGGCAUCAUGAUCUGUGCUUGCACAGAUGAUGGCGACCGGCGCACGGGUGAGUAACGCGUAUCCAACCUUCCCCCCAGUAGGGCAUAGCCCGGCGAAAGUCGGAUUAAUACCCUAUGUUUUCCAAUGAGGACAUCUGAGCUGGAACAAAGAUUCAUCGCUGGGGGAUGGGGAUGCGUCCGAUUAGCUUGCCGGCGGGGUAACGGCCCACCGGGGCAACGAUCGGUAGGGGUUCUGAGAGGAAGGUCCCCCACACUGGUACUGAGACACGGACCAGACUCCUACGGGAGGCAGCAGUGAGGAAUAUUGGUCAAUGGGCGUAAGCCUGAACCAGCCAAGUAGCGUGCAGGAUGACGGCCCUAUGGGUUGUAAACUGCUUUUAUGCGGGGAUAAAGUGCGUCACGUGUGGCGUUUUGUAGGUACCGCAUGAAUAAGGACCGGCUAAUUCCGUGCCAGCAGCGGC